AGCGCUUGGAGGAGGCGCCUUGCAACAGAUGGGUAAAGCCGGCUCCUCACUGAGUCCCGCACUGGCCGGCGGCGGCAGCGGCCGAGCCACUUGCAGGGAGGCAGAAAGGCGCGGCAGCUGUGUGGUCCUGCAGGCAGGCGGCGGAGCGGACCACCCCCAAGCCCUGCUCGGGGCGGUGAGGCGGCUGCCUGCCCCCAAGGUCCAGGGGCAGCUGGAGGUCGCUGUUCGCUCCCCCUGCUGCUGCUGGGGGCCAUCUCUGGCCGGCCCGCCUCCUCCCCCGGUGCAAUCUGCAAGUAAAGAGGAAAUAGAAGACAUUAACCCACCUGUUUGGAGAGAACGCAAAAUCAGCACAAUAUGGCACAGCCUAGCAUUGUUCUUGGAUUAUUCAUAAUGACUGUUUUAUCAAUGCUGUAUGGAAGUUCAGCUUUCCUAUUAAAUCAGCGUCUGAAGGGAAGAUUUCAAAGGGACCGCAGAAACAUCCGUCCAAACAUCAUUCUCAUUCUUACUGACGAUCAGGAUGUAGAACUUGGUAAGAGCCAGAGUAUUUUAGCUCACAGAUAUGGCAUUGCUUUUGCUUGGGGCUAGAUUCUGCUCUCAGACACUCUAGUGUAAAUGAACAUUUUGACCAGUGCAGCAGAGAACAGGAUCUAAUCCCUAACCUGCAAACAAUUUUUUUUCUGUGUGAAAUGUA
Molecule: long non-coding RNA, 691 nt
Filed under: Gopherus agassizii (Agassiz's desert tortoise)
Lineage: Eukaryota; Metazoa; Chordata; Testudines; Testudinidae
Description: lncRNA (ENSGAGG00000025766.1)
Source: RNAcentral